AUUGAACGCUGGCGGCAGGCCUAACACAUGCAAGUCGAGCGAGCGGUGGACGGGUGAGAAAAGUAUGGGGACUGCCCGAUAGAGGGGGGUAACAACUGGAAACGGUAGCUAAUACCGCAUACUAUCGGAUAACCCAUAUGGGUUCAGCCGGUAGGUGGGGUAAUGGCUCACAUAGGCGACGAUCCCUAGCUGGUCUGAGAGGAUGAUCAGCAAAGCUGGACCGGAGAAACGGCCCAAGCUCCACCGGAGGCGGAAGUGGGGAAUAUUGCACAUUGGCCAAAAGCCUGAGGCAGCCAGGCCGGGGAUAUAAAAAAGGCCCUAGGGUGGUAAAGUACGUUCAUUGGGGAGGCGUUACCGGCAGAAGAAGCACCGGCUAACUACGUGCCAGCAGCCGCGGUAAUUC
Molecule: ribosomal RNA, 403 nt
Filed under: uncultured bacterium
Lineage: Bacteria
Description: partial 16S ribosomal RNA
Rfam family: Bacterial small subunit ribosomal RNA
Source: RNAcentral